GACGAACGCUGGCGGCGUGCUUAACACAUGCAAGUCGAACGGUGAAAGGGAGCUUGCUCCCUGGAUCAGUGGCGAACGGGUGAGUAACACGUGGGCAACCUGCCCCAGACUUCGGGAUAACGCUUCGAAAGAGGUGCUAAUACCGGAUACGAACUCCUUGGGCAUCCUUGGAGUUGGAAAGUUUUUCGGUCUGGGAUGGGCCCGCGGCCUAUCAGCUUGUUGGUGAGGUAACGGCUCACCAAGGCGACGACGGGUAGCCGGCCUGAGAGGGCGACCGGCCACACUGGGACUGAGACACGGCCCAGACUCCUACGGGAGGCAGCAGUGGGGAAUAUUGCACAAUGGGCGCAAGCCUGAUGCAGCGACGCCGCGUGAGGGAUGACGGCCUUCGGGUUGUAAACCUCUUUCAGCACCGACGAAGCGCAAGUGACGGUAGGUGCAGAAGAAGGACCGGCCAACUACGUGCCAGCCGCCGCGGUAA
Molecule: ribosomal RNA, 481 nt
Filed under: uncultured bacterium
Lineage: Bacteria
Description: partial 16S ribosomal RNA
Rfam family: Bacterial small subunit ribosomal RNA
Source: RNAcentral